Molecule: RNA transcript, 1760 nt
Organism: Oncorhynchus mykiss (rainbow trout)
Lineage: Eukaryota; Metazoa; Chordata; Actinopteri; Salmoniformes; Salmonidae
Gene: cdk10
Gene name: cyclin dependent kinase 10
Source: RefSeq, a predicted model, not a curated record
AGCGGAUCUCACCAUCUUGAACCCCGGGAAAGCUUGUAGUCGUCCAUUUAAUAGACAAAGCACCGAGUGUGUGGUUUCCUGCCAAUCAUACUGUUUUGAAUGUUUCUGGACGUAUAUUCGCGUACUGGUCGCAUUUUCUGUCAUCACAGUACAGCAAAGGGCGAAUGAACCAUCAUCUUGGGCGUCCAAAUAACAAUGGAGAACGCUGCAGAUACUGACCCGGACCCCAUAAAGCUGAAGUCGAUCAAGAACAACAGAACGUUCACAGUACCGCAAAAACACAGGUUUGGGAACUGUAGGAGUGUGAAAGAAUUUGAGAAACUGAACCGAAUCGGCGAGGGAACAUAUGGAAUUGUGUACAGAGCUCGAGACACCAGGUCGGAUGAUAUUGUAGCACUGAAGAAGGUCCGGAUGGACAAGGAAAAGGAUGGGAUCCCUAUCAGUAGUCUGAGAGAGAUUACCCUGUUGCUCAAACUCAGACACCCCAACAUAGUGGAGUUAAAGGAGGUGGUGGUGGGAAGUCACCUGGAGAGUCUCUUCCUAGUUAUGAGUUACUGUGAGCAGGACCUGGCCAGUCUGCUGGAAAACAUGCCAACACCGUUCUCAGAGGCACAGGUGAAGUGUAUAGCUCUGCAGCUGCUGAGAGGUCUGGAUUAUCUUCACCUCAACUUUAUUCUGCACAGGGAUCUGAAGGUGUCCAAUCUGCUGAUGACAGACAAAGGCUGUGUAAAGAUUGCUGACUUUGGCUUGGCUCGUUGCUACGGUAUCCCCCUACAGCCUAUGACGCCCCGGGUGGUGACAUUGUGGUAUAGAGCCCCAGAGCUCCUCCUAGGGACCAAGACUCAGACCACAGCCUUAGACAUGUGGGCGGUGGGCUGCAUCCUGGCUGAGCUGCUUGCACAUAAACCUCUGCUGCCAGGGGGUUCUGAGAUCCAACAAGUGGACCUCAUAGUGCAACUGUUGGGUACCCCUAAUGAAAACAUCUGGCCGACAGAAGAAUGCACGAUCAAGAAGGGAUACAUAGAGAGCAGUUGCUUCGCGAGGGCUUCACUCGUCUUCCCCUAGUUGGACAGUACAGUUUGAGGAAACAACCAUACAACAAUUUGAAGAAUAAGUUCACCUGGUUGUCUGAUGCAGGGCUGCGUUUACUCAACCUUCUCUUCAUGUACAAUCCUCUACGCAGGGCCACAGCUAAGGACUGCUUGGAGAGUUCCUACUUUAAGGAGAAACCUUUGCCUUGUGAGGCUGACCUGAUGCCAACCUUCCCUCAUCAUCGCAAUAAAAGGGCAGCCCCAGCUGUAGAGAGCCAAUCAAAACGCAAUAAAGUGUAACUUCAUUAACAUCCUUGAUCGCAGUUUAAAUAAAUGAAUGAAUAUCUUAAUGUUUACUACUACACAGAUUAUGCACCUGGUUGUAAAAAUGUGUUGUCAUAGAAUGCAUGUACCUGGCAGUAAUUAUCCAAAUCAAUGGGGUGAUGGUAAGCUUUCAAGUAUUCCACAGUUCAGUCCUCAGUUACUGCUUGCAAAAUCCUAUUUCUUUCACUGUGUCUGAUGAAUAUCCAAAAGUAUGUGAUUAACAUGCAUAAGUUCAAUUUAAUUCACCAAUGUUGCUUUUUUUUUUUAAAUGGAUGUUGGUUAACCUUUGGCAGGUUCACGUAACCAAUAGGAUUUGGUUUGCUGUAUGUACAUAGACAUUUUUUAUCCCAUGAAAUUCAAUGAAUAUUGUAGUUUUAGUUUUUAAUAAACUGCUUUUUCAAAUUA